AUAAAAUAAUGAUUAUAUUUGUAUUGUAAGGUAGGUUCAAGCACGAAGAGAAUACAGACAAGUUUUAAACUACGAUAGAAACGUUUUCUUUUGCUAUUCAAUUGUUAAACCCUGUAUGUCAUUUACCUUUCUUUUUUCUUCUUGUAGAAAAUGUUCUUUUAUUAUUUUAUAAUACAAAUACCUGAAGAGUUUUUCAACAUUGAUUGCUGAUGAAAUGGGAGG
This is a long non-coding RNA of Polistes dominula (European paper wasp), 222 nucleotides long. RefSeq lists it as uncharacterized. Lineage: Eukaryota; Metazoa; Arthropoda; Insecta; Hymenoptera; Vespidae. The record is from RefSeq and is a predicted model, not a curated record.